UAUUUCUCUUAACAUGCAGCCUGUCCACAUCAUCAAUCAACAUGCAGUUAUCCACAUCAGCUAAUCUGCCACAUCAUCAAGUUUUUUCUUUUCUUUUUCUAUAGAGGAAGAAGAUUACACACGGCACACACACUUCCUCUUCCCCAUGCCCGCGACCUCACACGACGCCCCCUCUUCUUCCCAAUUGCGAUGUCCUACCUUCUCCACAAAACUUCUCGCCCACUUCAUCUUCCCCAAAGUCCAUUAAAUCACGGUAAUGGAAAGGAUGCAACUCUGUAUUUACACGGGGACCCAUCAAUCGAUCACAUCAGAGCCAAGAAGAUGAGACGGCGAGGUCGAGCUUCAGGUCAAGGUUCAGACUGGUGGCGACUGGCGAGGCGGAGUGACGGCUCACCGGAGCAGCGCCUUCUCGCUGGUCGCUUGGAGUCGUUGGCGUCGAUCGCAUCAGAGCCAAGAGGACGAGACGGCGAGGUCGAGCUUCAGGUCAAUUCAGACUGAUGGCGAGGCGGCAGGAGAGACGGCUCACUAGAGCAGCGGCCUUCUUGGUGGUCGUGUUCGAGCCGUUGGCGUCGCUGCUCACAGCCGUGGCCUCCUCCUCCCACUGGCCGCUCGAUAGCGUCAGGACAAACCCCGCCGCCGGCUGCUGUUGCUUUUGACGCGUGCUUACCUACGGUAACAUCUUCUCUGAACAUUAAUACUCUCCCCGUCCCCGCUCACCUGUGCCACUCGAUUCGUCUCUUUUUUUUCCUUCGAUGCAGGGCUUGGUGGUCCCCUAUCGCACGCACUACUAUCACCAUCCAUCUCUUUUUUCCUUCGAUGCAUGAGUAGGCUGCACUGCAGCAAGUAGUAGCAGCAGCCAACGAAAGUGUUGGCAUGGUCAGGAGGGAGGAGAGAUGCUGCUUCAAACAGAUUUUUGAGAUAACUGCAUCAUGAUCUGCUGUGAUGAGUAGGAACAAUAGCAGUCAAGACUAAAUAGCAUAUCUAGGUACACCCGAGAUACCAUAUACAGUACUACUUUCAAGCUGCAUACUUGCUAUUGGCCUUAUUUGAUCUAGCAUGUUGGAUCACUAAUGUUUCUGAAUUUCUUUGUGACCAUUCACUAAAGGUAACUCUUGCUACGCCAUUUUGUUGGUAUGAUUGCAUAAAUUUGCACAAACUGUAUUGCCCCUUGCUAAAGAAGACCUCUGAAGAAAUUGUCUUGUAAAAUGCACAGAUCUCUGUUGAUGGUAUGAUGUCCAUAAUUUUCUUUGUCGUUCAAUACAUCUUCUGUUUUUAGGUACUGAUGUGUUUUGAACAUAUUUCAGAAUAUUCAAAAUAUCUUGGCGUUUGCAGGUUACUUUGGUCUAGAUUAUGGGGUAAAAAAAAGGUUUUGUCUGGAUUAGUUCUCUUCCAGUCAGUCUCAUGUUUUAAUGUUGUGAAUUAUUUCCGCAUAUAUGCGCACCCGACAGUGUUGACAAGUAUAUGAUACAAACAUACUCGAAGGAAGGCCAUACUAUUUUCUUCAUUCAAUUCUCAUUAGUCUUGCAUGGACCUAAAAAUAGUACUAUGGUGUGGGCAACUAAGAAGAAUCAUUACCACCUCUGAAGCAAAUCUUCACUCAAUUCUAUAGAAUGUUCGGUUUUUAUGUGCGGAAAUUAUGGGACAAACUGAAUUGGCAAUUUAUGUUCUCGCUGUCAUCAAUUCUUACACACUAUGAUGUGGGCAACUAAGAAGAAUCAUUACCACCUCUGAAGCAAAUCUCCAAUGCCUAUUUGAUUUGUGGUAUAUUUAUUUAUUCUUUGCGGGCGAGAUGUUUUCGAUGCACAAAUGUUUGGAAGGCCAUGAUAUUUUGCCAGUGGGAACUGUAACCACUAAUGUUAAUAUUUUUUUGAAAGGAAAUGUUAUGUAUUUUUCUAGCCAGUUUUGCAGUUCAAUCUCAUAAAAUGGUUUUAUUUUAGCCAAGAAAAAAUACGGCUAAAAGUAUAUCCAAAUUAUUUAUAUUUCAUUUGUCUAACAUAUCUCAUUUUUCUUGCAACAGUUCCCGCAACAACGUGCGGGGUGUCAUCUAGUUAAUGGAAAGAAUAAGGGCGUUUUUGGUUGCCGUCGGCUACAGUAUCUGCAUUGCAUACACUUCUGCACUCAGCCUGGCUCUCGAAAAACAACCUCAUAUGCGACAUCUGCAAUUUGUUUGGUUGUCUGCAUAUGGACUGCAUGCAUCAAUGGAUCAACAUUGGCAUGUUGUUUGUUUGCCUGCA
This is a long non-coding RNA of Triticum aestivum (bread wheat), 2234 nucleotides long. RefSeq lists it as uncharacterized. NCBI's taxonomy places the organism in Eukaryota, Viridiplantae, Streptophyta, Magnoliopsida, Poales, Poaceae. The record is from RefSeq and is a predicted model, not a curated record. The transcript is spliced from 2 exons.